This 9875-nucleotide long non-coding RNA is filed under the name Lathyrus oleraceus (garden pea). RNAcentral's name for it is "Pisum sativum (pea) long non-coding RNA (PSAT_LNC021465)". Lineage: Eukaryota; Viridiplantae; Streptophyta; Magnoliopsida; Fabales; Fabaceae. The record is from RNAcentral.
UCACUAAAAGAACCUGAGAAAGCAAAAUAUAGAAAGCAUAUAAAUAUAUAUUUUCCAUAAAUCAUUGAGAACCCUUUCAAUCAAGUAAUCUAAUGAUUCAAGGGGUUCUCACCAGUGUUUUAAAAACUGGACCGAAGAUUGAACCGAUAAAACUUGCGGUUUAAGGUUCAAUUGGUUAAACCGGUUAAACCUAUGGUCGAGUCGUUUAUUAAAUAAACUAAUAAUAUAAAACUAAAUUUCAUAAAUAUGUCACACAUAAUCAUAUGUUCAUAAUUUAAUAAAAUAAUUAUUUCAAAAAUUCAUUGCAAAUUUAAUACAACAAUAUCGAUAAUACAUAUGAUAACAUAACAUAAUUCUACAUUUUAUUUCAACAUUCAUUUAAGAAUAAUUUGACCAAAUUAAAAAAUUACCAUAGGUUAAACUAAUUCAAACCAAAAUUAAAAUAAUAAAAUAUAAUAACUAAAAUAAAGUUCAAAUAAUUAAGAAUACCUAAAUUAAAUAAGAUAAAAUACCAGAAAUAAAUAAUAUAAUAUAUUUCAUUAAUCAAAAAAAUGAAUUUAAGUUGAACUACGACAAAUAAAUCUUAAUUGACAAUAAAAAACAAUAUUGACUUGAACGACAAUCAAUAUUGAGUUGGAUAUCGUGACUAUGUUUGAAAGGGACAAUGUGAUGAUGAUGAAGUAUGGUUGAAAGAAAAACUAUAAUAUUGAGUUGGAUAUCGUGACUAUGUUUGAAAGGGACAAUGUGAUGAUGAUGAAGUAUGGUUGAAAGAAAAACUAUAAUGGAGUGACAAAAUAUAGAAGUUUGUAUGGUUAUAAAAAAAUACGGAAUUAUUUUUUGUGAUUGAGAAUGUAGGUUAAGUUUUGAUAUUGACAUAUUAAAAUUUUUAAAUUUUUUUUUAAAAAAAUGGUCAAUUUGAUGCAUUUUUUUGAACCCGGCGAUUUUACAAAACCGACUCCGUUUCUUUGGUUCGAAUGAUUUUGGACAGUUCAAUCCAGUUUUUCUGGUUUUACUCUGGUUUUGACCCACUAGCAAUUUUGAAAGGUUGACCCAACCGGACUCCUCUCUGGUUCCCGAUCCAACCGGUUGAACCGGGCGGUUCGGACCGGUUUUUAGAACAUUGGUUCUCACAAACAACAAACAUAUUCAAUUAUAAUUUCAAUUUUUUAAGUGAAUCUAACGGAAAAAUAUUUCUUUUAUCUUUUUGAUUCAUUUAUUCACAAAAAUCAUCGUUAAUGGUAUAAAAAUAGAAUAUGUAAUGAUACAAACUUCAACGAUUCAUCAUUUCUAAAUUUAGUAGUAUUUGAAUUGAGACGAAGUUCUGACCAUGUGUCCGAGAAACAAGAGCGAUCAGAUCUGUAUCAAUGGAAUCUCAUCACCCAUACAUAACAAAUUGGUGCGGUAUAUUCAACUUAUAUUAUAAUAUAUGAACAAUAAAAAAGCUAUUAUUCUUAUUGAGACUAGAACUCAUAGGGAAGAAAGAAUAAAACAGAUUUAUGAAUGGAAUCAAAUAUGCAGUAUUUAUAGAAAAAAGUAUUCGGUUAUGGGGGAAAAUCAAUAUACUUUUGAUGUAGAAUCAGGAUCAACUAGGACAGGAAUCAAACAUUGGAUGGAAUUCUUCUUUGGUGUCAGGGUAAUAGCUAUGAAUAGUCAUCGACUCCCAAGAAAGGAUAUAAGAAGAAGAAUGUGACAUAUUAUAGGACAUAUAAUGCAUUAUAAAUGUAUGAUCAUUACGCUUAAACCGUGUUAUUCUAUAGAAAUUAGAACUAAUAAACAAUCCGGAGAUAUAUGAUAAUAAGAUAUAUGAUUCUAUUACUUUUGGAUAUUUCUGAAUUGAAUCAAAAAUGUUGUUAGAUGCCCAAGUUUGCUUAUUUGAGCUAUCAAAUGUGGGCAUCUUUCACUCCUUUUUGUCGAAAAAGUGUUCGAAACCGCCCUUGCUUUUGUUGAUUUGCAAUACUAUGUGAAAUGAUCUGUGGGCAUCUUUCACUCCUUUUUGUCGAAAAAGUGUUCGAAACCGCCCUUGCUUUUGUUGAUUUGCAAUACUAUGUGAAAUGAUCUUGGUACCUUUAAUUUGUGUGUUAUUGUGUAGGAAUUAGGCACGAAAGAGUAGAAAACGAAGGCACAAGAAAGAAGGCAAAGGAACCAAGAAAGAAAGCAAACAUCAGCAAGCUCGCUAGGCGAGUGAGGUAGCGAAGUAUUCGCUAGGCGAGCACUCAGCGAGAUUCCAGCGAACACUCCCAGACUUGGACAGAACCAAAAAGAUCAAGUAUUCGCUAGGCGAGCAUCCAGCGAGCAAGCAGCGAACAAUUCCGGUAGCAAAACCAUCAAAACUCGUUGUGGCGAGGGAAGUAGCUAAGUACUCGCUAGGCGAGCAUCCAGCGAGCAGGUAGCGAGCAAUUCCAGUAGCAAAAUCAUCAAGACUCGCUGGAGCGAAUGAGAGAAACGAGGGCUUCGCCUAGCGAAGGAUUGUUCGCCUAGCGAACAGAUGCAAACUUUUCUGGGAUGACUCUUCUGGACGCAUGCUAUUCUGGUGGCUUAUUUUGGGGCUCGCUAGGCGAACCAUUCUGCUCGCCUAGCGAGCAUGACAACUCAGUAAUCAGUACUAUAAGUAGCAUGGACUACUUUUUGGAACAACAUCUUUUAUCUUCAUUUUUCUUGGGAUCAUCUUUUUACUUGUUUUUGGCUUAGAGGUACUUUGUGUGCCCUAAAAACCACAUUUCUCAUCAUUCUUCUUUUCUUGACAAUAUUUUACAAAAAGAAGGUGGAUUCCCAUCCAAUCUCGAUUCUUCGACUCAGAUGUUGAUCAACCUUCGACCGAAACUUGUUGUUCAAGCUACCAUGAAAAUGAGUAGCUAAGUCCUUCAUUUUGUCAAGGUUAGAUGUAGAUGAUCAUAAGCUUUGUAUGUAUAUGGGAUGAUCUUCAUUUGUAAACUCUUUGAUGAUGAAUGUAUGGUGAAAAACCUUGUUUUAUUGAUAACUCUUUGUGUUGGUUUAUAUUGAAAGGUGUUUUCAACUCUUGACCUAAGUUUUCAUCCAUCCUUGUUCUUUAGCUAGAGAUAGUAUUGAAUGAGUUUGGUUCACAAAAAGUUGAACCUAAAAGUUGUUCAUUUUGGUAGAUUGUGUGAAAAUCAACAAUGGAUCAAAAUGGGAAAAACCAUAAUGUGUGUUAGAAAUAAACACAUUGGGAGGACUUUGUGAAUGUGUUUAUCAUCUAAUGGAGUUUAUGAGUUUUGUUUGAUCGAACAUAUGCAUGCAAAGUGAUCGUCAAACCCUAACUUUGACAAUCUUUCUCAAAUCGUAAAACCAAAACUUUUAUCGCAAUUUCUUACUUUUUAUGCAAGAUACCGUAACCGAAAACUAAAACCCCCUUGUUACUAUAAGUUAAGAACUUAACAACUGCCGAAUGGCGGCAAUAUCACAUAAUCUCUGUGGAGACGAUAACAAAUCCCGAUACUCUAUCCCUGUACCAACAAAUGCAUAUCUGAAUUUUCGGAAAAACAUGACAAAGACAUUAUUAUUAUGGUGAAUAAGGAAGUAGGAGAAACAUAUCUUGUAGUAUUAUUCUGGGAUGAAGAUUAAAUUCAUCAACAACGUAUGAUCAUUACGCUUUAACCCUGUUAUUCUACUCCACCUCUUAGAAAGAAAAGAACUUUAAUAAAAAUACAUUUAAUAACAUAACAUGGCGAUACAUUUAUCCAAAACUUCUAGCAUGAGCACAUACAAUGGAGCCGUAAACAGUCAAGUGAAAUCCAAUUCACGAAAUCGUUUGAUUUCUGGACAACAUCAUUAUGGUAAAGGGCGUAAUGCCAGAGGAAUCAUUACCGUAGGGCAUAGAGGGGGAGGUCAUAAGCGUUUAUACCGUAAAAUUGACUUUACAUUAACAAAAAAAACAUUCAUGCAUCAUAUGCAUUUUCAAAAACAUAAAACAAACAAAAAAUUAUCCAUCCACCCUUUUCCUUGAUCAGAACUGACGCCUCCAAAAUGACUUUCCGUACAACACUCACAAACAUCAACAAGACGUCAUGGAUCAACUCGAAUAAAACCAAGUCGCGCUCAGAGAAAAGUGUCUCAAGUGAGGUCCCAAAUGAGGUAGUUGAUGGAGACAAUCCAGGCAGUCACUAGAGGACAAGAAAUCAUGGCUAAAGUGCGGGAGGAAAUGAAUCAGCAUGCUCAUGAUGCUAACGCUCAUCCUCCUGUAUUAGAAACUCCAGUUCCUCCUCCUCAAGGCAAUCCUCCAGUUCAUAUAGGUGCACCCGGCGGUGUCCCUCCACCUACUCUCAAUCCCCCUGUCAUUGAGAUAGACUAUCAACAUGAUGUUUUUUCCAGCCCUAGGGCUGCUUCCCUGUACGAAGCUUUCACAAAAAUGGUCACUUUGAUGACUUUUUCAUUUCAACUAUUUAUUUAAAAGGUUAAAUUUUGUAUAAAUUUACAAACCGUAGCCAAAACUUGAAUAAAAUUAUAUCAAAGUUAAUUUAAUUUGUUAUACUAAAUACAACAAAAAAGAUAUAAUUAAAUUUAUUUUGUUAUACUAAAUACAACAAAAAAUAUAAUUAAAUUUAUUUAAUGGAUGAAACAACUAAUGGGCAUAACCAUGCAAGCGAUAUUGUACCUAACAAUUUAUUAUGAUAGUGUCACUUAAGUAAUUAUUUAUUAGAAACUGAUCCUUGUUUUUAUUCUUAUACACCGCAUAGAAAGACUUGAAGGUUUAAUCGGGCACGUGAUCUCUAUAAAAUAUUGAUCUACACGUCACAAUAAAAUCCAUAAUCUAGUAGUAAUUCAAACACAGUAAUGGAAAUAAAUUUCAUCAUGAAUCACUAUUUUGAAAUUAGAAUUUCAUAACACCAUAAUCCAAAUUUCAACUAUAUAUACAACACCAAACUUACUUAAUAGAAAAUAUUAAGUAGACAACACUAUUAGAAAAAAAAUAAAACAGUAAAACAGAAUAUAAUCUGUUGAAUGAACCUUGCAAUGUUUUCCAUCAUAAUAUGCAUAAAAAAAUUUAAUACCGGAUAAGAAAAAAGAAAAUAGAUUAAAAGGAAAAAUUGAUGUAAUUAGUUUUAAAAAAAAAAAUAGGCUUAAACCUGAAUCAAUUAAAUCACUGGUUUUUAGUAGGAAUCGGUUUUGAACCGAACCAAUCAAAACAUAAACUGGUUUUGAAAAAUAAACCAGUUUUACAAAAACAAUUUUUGAAACUAAACUGAACCAUAUAUUUAGUUUAAUUCAGAUUGGUUUAAAAACUAUGCACAACAAGAUGAGCUUCAUAAGCUUCACCUUGCUUUAAAAACUAUGCAAAACAAGAUGAGCUUCAUAAGCUUCACCUUGCUUGUAUACAAUGGGGUGUUUUUCAGGUACUGUAAUCAAUUUUCUGUUUAGAGGACAUUUUAUUUUGUUCAUUUUUACCUGAUCUUGUAAUUUUCAUGCAGAUGGUAAAUCAUGGAGUUUCAUCUGUUAAUAAUAUGGGGAAUGAAGUUAAGAGAUUUUUUGAACUUCCUUUACAAGAGAAAACAAGAUUGGCACAAAAAGCAGGAAGUCUUGAAGGGUAUGGUAUGGUCAAGCAUUUGUUACAUCUCAAGAACAAAAACUGGAUUGGAAUGAUAUGAUCUUCCUCGAAUCUUUACCUAUUCAAAACAGAAAAUUGGACUUGUGGCCUCAAAAUCCUCCCGAGUUCAGGUAUAUACAUUAUGUUAUUGAAUCUUUGAACUGAACAACAUAUGUAGUACUUCAACUUCAGAUUAAAAACGUGUCCGUGUUCGACAUGUGCAGGUGUCAGACACCGACACAUAUAUUUGUAUUCAAUAACUUACUAUGUUAUAUUAUAUUAUUGAAUCUCUGAUCUGAACUGAAAAGCAUAUGUUGUACUUGUAUAAUACUUCAACUUCAGAUUGGAAGCCUAUCUAGUGUGGGUUGUACUCAAUCACUUCCUAUAUAGCAUUGACACUUCAUAUUGAAGGUGGUGUGCUUGGUAUUCAACAACUCUGAGGUUUGAUAUGUGUCGGUCUUCGACACUAACACAUGUGAUUAGUGGUUACUAUGUGUCAGGGUCUUCAUAUCGAAGGCAGGUCCGCUGUCCAACAAUUGUGAGGUUUAAUAUGUGUCAGCCUUUGACACUAACACAUAUGGUCAGGGACGGAGUCAGAGAUUUUGAACUGUGGGGGCAAUAUAUUAAUAUAUUUAUUUAUCUCUAAAAAAAUAUUUAAUAAUAUUUAAAAAAAUUUAUCAAAAAAAAAAUAGAAAAAAAAAAAAAAAAAUAUAUAUAUAUAAUAUAUAUAUAUAUAUAUAUAUAAUAUAUAUAUAUUAUAUAUAUAUAUAUAUAUAAUAUAUAUAUAUAUAUAUUAUGAUUAGUAUAUAAUUUUUUUAUGAGAUCAUAAUAUUAAUAUAAAAUUCUAAGAUCAAAUUUUUUUAAAGGUCGAGGGAAAACUAUUUUGAAAUUAUAAAAAAAAACACAAUCGACUAUAUUUUAGUCUAACAUAUUUUAAUUUUAAUUAUUGAUAUAAAAAUAAAAAACUCACAUAAUUUAUUAAGUAUCCUAAAAAAAUAUUUAUAUACUCUAUGAUUUUCACCUAAUUUUAAUAAUAUUAACAAUAAAUUAUUUCAAUUGAUUUAAAAUAUAUUAUAAUAUAUAUAUAAUAUAUAUAUAUAUAUAUAUAAUAUAUAUAUAUAUAUAUAUAUAUAUAUAUUUAAGGGUUUUUUUUAAACAUAGUGGGGGCAUAUGCCCCCAUAGUGAUAUAUCUCGCAUGUGGUUACGUAUGUGUCAUUGUGCUAGUGUCAUAUUCGGUAUCCUUGACUGUGUUUCUGUCUCAUAGAUCAAUUAUGAUUUUUCAAAUUAUUAUCGGUGUCUAUGUGUCAUUGUCUUCAUAUUGAAGGUAUGUCAUGUAUCCAAUAACUAUGAGGUUUGAUAUAUGUCGAUCUUCGUCACUGACGCAUGUGAUUAUCAAUGUCAGCGUGUCAGUGUCUACGUGUGUAAUGCUCGUGUCCAAGUGAGUUAGUUCUUCAUAGAGAGACACUAUUUCUAUUCUAAUUAUUUUACCUCUUUUCUCCUUCUCAUAACAAGCUAAUAUCAUCUUUAAAGCAGGAGAUUCCAUUGCAAAAUUUUCAUCACAAUAUUUUAGUUAUAUUUGUAAGGGUCUUCUUUUGCAAUAUAUAUUAUCAGGGAAACAUUGGAAAAAUAUUCUGAAGAUAUAAGGGCGUAAGCAAUAUCAAUAGUGAGUUUCAUUACAUUGGCUUUAGGACUCGAGGAUACAAAGAUGUCAGAAAGUUUCCAUGAAGGACUAUAUGACAUUAGGAUGAACUGCUAUCCACCUUGUCCAGAGCCUGAAAGAGUUCUUGGGAUCAUUCCUCAUGCCGACAAUUCUGCAAUCACUCUUUUGGUUGAUUUUGGUGAUUUUCCUGGACUGCAGUUUCUCAAAGAUGGAAAAUGGGUCAGUGUUGUUCCAAUACAAGGAACCAUUGUUGUUAACAUUGGCCAUAUAAUUGAGAUUUGUAAUUUUUUUUACUGAUAAGCUGUGAAGCACGGAAACAGACAUUGGAUAUUGAUACGUCGACACCGGUAAUAAUUUGAAAAGAUUAAUAAAUUGAACGUAAUCAUAAGUGUCAUGUCAUGUUAGCGUCCGACACUGACACUUAGACGGACACUGACACGCCUUUUAUCAAAGGUGUCGGUGCUAUAGAGUUAUAAGGCUUCAAAUUAUUUCUCAAAUAGUGAUUCAUUGGAAGUUCUAGAAUUACGCAGGUUAUGACAAAUGAGAUAUACAAAGCACCAGAGCACAGACCCGUCGUAAAUAAAGAGAAGGAAAGAUUGUCAAUAGUGACAUUCUGCUAUCCAAGUCCUUCUAUAGAUAUUGGACCUGUUAAGAAGUUAACUGAUGAAGGUAACCAACAAGUAUACAAGAACAUGACAAAUGCAGAAUUCUUCAACAUGUUUUUCAAUAGGAAGCUCGAUGAAUCCUUUAUUGAUAGUUUGAGAUUAUGAUUAUAAUUAAUGGUGCUUAUUUAUACAACUCUUCCUUAACUAAUAUAAAUACACUUCAAAGUCAUAGCUGAAGUAACUUGUUCACAUGCAUUAAUUUUCAAUGCAGAUAGGUUAGUUAACCAACAAAAUGGUUCUAAUUAAGUUGUUUUUCAUGGGAUACUGUAUAGGUAAGAAGUUGAACUAACAAUACUUACAUGUACACAAUUUCUUCUAUAAAAGCCAAACAGUAAUACAUGCAAAAUACACUACAAAUCAUAUCAGAACCAUAUUAGCAUUGCAAAGCCCUUCAACUACUAUACUAUAUCUCCUUGAAGAUCUUCUCAUCAGUUAGAUCAAUUUAACCAUGGCUUCCAUUAGUUUGUCAACAAUCAUUUUUCCAUUUAUGAUUCUAGUUAUUUUGUCGGCAAAAAGUAGUAUAAUGAUUGUCGAGGCACGCAAACUUCUAGAGUCAAGCACGCCUCAACUCCCAAAACUUGAUUUGCCACUUCUACCAAAUCCCGAGUUUCCUAAGGUUCCUGAGCUACCUAAAUUAGAAAUUCCUAAACUACCUGAGUUAUCAAAUUCCGAGCUGCCUAAAAUUCCUGAAUUACCUAAGCUUGAAAUUUCUAAAGUACAUGAAUUACCAAAACCUGAGUUACCUAUGAUUCCUGAAUUACCUAAGCCAGAAAUUCUUGAAGUACCUGAGUUACCAAAGUCCGAAUUGCCUAAAGUUCCUGAAUUACCUAAGCCUGAAAUUCCUAAAGUACAUGAGUUACCAAAGCCUGAGUUGCCUAUGGUUCCUAAAUUACCUAAGCCAGAAAUUCCUAAAGUACCUGAGUUACCAAAGUCUGAGUUGCCUAAAGUUCCUAAAUUAUCUAAACCAGAAAUUUCUAAAGUACAUAAGUUACCAAAGCCUGAGCUGCCUAAAGUUCAUGAAUUAUCAAAGCCAGAAAUUCCUAAAGUACCUGAGUUACCAAAGCCUGAGCUGCCUAUGGUUCCUGAAUUACCUUUCGGUCUUUAAGGAUUUCAACCUGAGUUACCAAAGCCUGAGCUGCCUAUGGUUCCUGAAUUACCUAAGCCAGAAAUUCCUAAAGUACCUGAGUUACCAAAGUCCGAGUUGCCUAAAGUUCCUAAAUUACCUAAGCCUGAAAUUCCUAAAGUAUCUGAGUUACCAAAGUCCGAGCUACCUAAAGUUUCUGAAAUACCUAAGUCAGAAAUUCCUAAAGCACGUGAAUUACCAAAGUCAGAGCUGCCUAAAAUUCCUGAAUUACCUAAGCCAGAAAUUUCUAAAGUAUCUGAGUUACCAAAGUCAGAAUUACCUAAGCUACCUGAAUUUCCAAAACCCGAACUACCUAAAUUUAAUGUAACUGAAUUGCCCAAAUUCGAACUACCUAAAAUUCCAGAAUUGCCUGAAAUUCCUGAACUUCCUAAACCUGAACUACCCAAGAUCAAUAUUCCAGAACUACCUAAACCUAAGCAACCUAAAUUCCCUGAAAUGUCUAAAGUUGUUCCAACCACUACUCCAUAAGUUUGAAUUCUUUCAUUUGUAUUGUCUCAAAUCGUUUAAUAUAUUGUUUUCCAACCACUACUCCAUAAGUUUGAAUUCUUUCAUUUGUAUUGUCUCAAAUCGUUUAAUAUAUUGUUUAGCUCAUCAUGUAUGAUGAGUGUUAUAUGAUUUAUACAAUUUAUAAUUCAGUCUUAUAGGUAUAGACUACAGUCAUAGUGGAGUGAUUGUUAUGGUUUAGUUUGAAGUUUGAACCUUAUCAGAUUACAUAUUACUUUUUUAGUUUGAGUUUGUUUAAAUCGAUUGUACUAUUGCUUAUUAAUGGUCAUAUCUCUUAUGAAUGUGUUGUUGAAUUUAAUAAAAUUGUACUUUUAGUGAAGAAAUUUCAAGAAACUUCAAAUCCUAAUGUGGUUUAAGUUGAUA